GAGUUUGAUCCUGGCUCAGAUUGAACGCUGGCGGCAUGCCUUACACAUGCAAGUCGAACGGCAGCACGGGAGCUUGCUCCUGGUGGCGAGUGGCGAACGGGUGAGUAAUGCAUCGGAACGUAUCCUGGAGUGGGGGAUAACGUAGCGAAAGUUACGCUAAUACCGCAUAUUCUGUGAGCAGGAAAGCGGGGGACCUUCGGGCCUCGCGCUCUUGGAGCGGCCGAUGUCGGAUUAGCUAGUUGGUGAGGUAAAGGCUCACCAAGGCGACGAUCCGUAGCAGGUCUGAGAGGAUGAUCUGCCACACUGGAACUGAGACAGGUCAGACUCCUACGGGAGGC
This 338-nucleotide ribosomal RNA is filed under the name bacterium enrichment culture clone ALO1_GLFRUDD03HJPHI. Its description in RNAcentral is "bacterial SSU rRNA". It matches the Rfam family "Bacterial small subunit ribosomal RNA", at positions 9 to 349 of the family's 1533-position model. The record is from RNAcentral.